Long non-coding RNA from Acanthopagrus latus (yellowfin seabream), 901 nucleotides. RefSeq lists it as uncharacterized. Lineage: Eukaryota; Metazoa; Chordata; Actinopteri; Spariformes; Sparidae. The transcript is spliced from 3 exons. The record is from RefSeq and is a predicted model, not a curated record.
UAAGCUCCCCAACAGCUCGCUCCUUCCUCUUCCUAAUGUAAUUGCCACCCUCGUCCGUCCACACCAGCCCGGCUCCCCCCCGUACACUCGCUGUUUACAGCCCCACAGUAGGCUGUUAGACACACACGGGGGCCUUAAAGACCCUCCCGCUCCGUGCGCGCAGACCCGAGUCCGACUGGAACUCAUUUGGUGUCGUCUGAUUCUGACGUCUCACCAGGGGGCCACAAUUUCUUUUGCUUUCUUUCAUUUUUUUUUUUGUAUCCAAGUGACAGAACGUGUGUUAAGGUUUGUAAGGCUGAAAAUGGAAUGACACAAAUGUGGCGACCAUAUUUAGAGUUUUCCCUUUUAAACAGGCACGAUGACGGCAGGGCGUGCAAACCUGAACCAGACCACACAACAUUACCCGAGCCUCUCCUCUCCUCCUCCUCCUCCUUUGUCUUCUUCUUCUUUUUCUUCUUCCUCUUCUUCUUCUUCUUCUUCUUCCCUUAAUGUCUCCGUCCAUGAGAGGACUUCCUCCCGCACAUCUGGACAGGGCUCAUCAGGCCGACCCGGCGUGAGGGGAUGAAGGGUGACUCUCCUGCUGGCCGGUUCACCCAGCGCACCUCGGUCCUGUCCUCUCCCCAAAAGCGCCACAGCUGCUGAUUCUUUUUUACUUGUUCUCUCACCGUCCUGACACCUUGCUCCGUGUUCCGGUCGGAUCAUGGAUCCUGUCAGCUGCUGCAGUGCUUCAGUAUCUGACACCAUCAUCUGCAGCUUCUCUCCGAGCUUCUGUUAGUCAGGAGACGCGCUCAUGCCUGUUUGCCCGGCCGCCGGACCACCCACAUUCGGAAACGCCUAGCUGUUCCUGAGGCAGAGCCGGCGGCAGUUUAGAGAGAGAGAGAGAGAGAGAGAGAGAGAGAGA